This 497-nucleotide ribosomal RNA is filed under the name uncultured bacterium. RNAcentral describes it as "partial 16S ribosomal RNA". It matches the Rfam family "Bacterial small subunit ribosomal RNA", at positions 28 to 507 of the family's 1533-position model. The record is from RNAcentral.
GAUGAACGCUGGCGGCGUGCCUAAUACAUGCAAGUCGAGCGAACAGACGAGGAGCUUGCUCCUCUGACGUUAUCGGCGGACGGGUGAGUAACACGUGGAUAACCUACCUAUAAGACUGGGAUAACUUCGGGAAACCGGAGCUAAUACCGGAUAAUAUAUUGAACCGCAUGGUUCAAUAGUGAAAGACGGUUUUGCUGUCACUUAUAGAUGGAUCCGCGCCGCAUUAGCUAGUUGGUAAGGUAACGGCUUACCAAGGCAACGAUGCGUAGCCGACCUGAGAGGGUGAUCGGCCACACUGGAACUGAGACACGGUCCAGACUCCUACGGGAGGCAGCAGUAGGGAAUCUUCCGCAAUGGGCGAAAGCUUGACGGAGCAACGCCGCGUGAGUGAUGAAGAUCUUCGGAUCGUAAAACUCUGUUAUUAGGGAAGAACAAAUGUGUAAGUAACUAUGCACGUCUUGACGGUACCUAAUCAGAAAGCCACGGCUAACUACGUG